RNAcentral lists this unclassified non-coding RNA (386 nucleotides) under Hevea brasiliensis (rubber tree). Lineage: Eukaryota; Viridiplantae; Streptophyta; Magnoliopsida; Malpighiales; Euphorbiaceae. The record is from RNAcentral.
AUUUUUUCUUUUAGCUUCUCACGUAGUUUUCUUGUAUAUAUAUCAAAUUAUCCAAUUGAUGUGCAGGAAAGAUGCAGUUGAAUAUUAGUAAGGAGUUAAGGUGCUGGUGUACCGGAAACCACAUGCUUCUUGUUUUGAGGCUGUUCAUAUUCUUGAGAUCAUUGAAUAAAUAAAAUAGAUGAAACCAAUGUAAUAGGUGUAACUAUAAUGAGGUGUGGUCUAAGUUGAUACUCAUAUCAGGGUAUUAAGGACAGUAAAUAAAAUUAUGAUUUUUAUAUUUCUGAGUCUUCUUUUGCAUUACAAACUGUUAUGUUUCUCAUUUAUCCGCACAUUUCUAUCUUUCAUUUAAAUUUAGGGCGGAUGAGGAACCUGUUGAUCAAAAGAAG